GAUGAACGCUGGCGGCGCGCCUAACACAUGCAAGUCGAACGAUUAAAGCACCUUCGGGUGUGUAUAAAGUGGCGAACGGCUGAGUAACACGUGGGCAACCUGCCCCUUUCAUUGGGAUAGCCACGGGAAACCGUGGAUAAUACCGAAUACUUCGAGACUUCCGCAUGGAAGACUCGAGAAAGCUCCGGCGGAGAGGGAUGGGCCCGCGGCCUGUUAGCUUGUUGGUGGGGUAACGGCCUACCAAGGCAAUGAUGGGUAGCUGGGUUGAGAGACCGACCAGCCAGAUUGGGACUGAGACACGGCCCAGACUCCUACGGGAGGCAGCAGUGGGGAAUCUUGCACAAUGGGCGAAAGCCUGAUGCAGCGACGCCGCGUGCGGGAUGAAGGCCUUCGGGUUGUAAACCGCUUUCAGCAGGGACGAGGCUAAAGUGACGGUACCUGCAGAAGAAGCCCCGGCUAACUACGUG
Molecule: ribosomal RNA, 467 nt
Filed under: uncultured bacterium
Lineage: Bacteria
Description: partial 16S ribosomal RNA
Rfam family: Bacterial small subunit ribosomal RNA
Source: RNAcentral